CAGCUGCUGCUGUGUAUAAAAGGAGGGAGGAAGAGAGUCACCCCACCUCCACACCUCAUCUCAACUACUGCACUGACCGAACCCCAUCUCUUAUCCUUCCCAUCUCUGUUCUUUCCUCCCACCAGGGAAAGGGAAGGGGUAUAAAUAGCCCACCUCCAUCGCUCCCCUUCGGUUCAUGCCAACCACUACUUGCCUUUGAAGAAAGAAAGAAGUUCCACUGGUAUCACCGACUUCCCCUACUAGGGAAAGAGCAGAUACAUACAUAUCUGAAGACAGAAGCUGCAGCGGCGCGUUUCUGUUUGUUGUGCUACGCACCAAGUGAUCGAGCCUAGUGAGAGGACAGAGGGAGACACACCUGAAUCAUCCCUCACUUUCGCCACCUUUAUUGGCUGCCAAUAGCGACCGGCCGGUGUUACGUAAGAGAAGGAUGGUGGAGUCCAUGGCGGUCGUGGCGAUCAGGGAGUACGACGCGGAGCGGGACCGGGUGGGAGCGGAGGCGGUGGAGCGGAUGUGCGAGGUGGGGCACAGCGGCGGUGCCAUGUCCCUCUUCACCGACCUCCUCGGCGACCCCCUCUGCCGUGUCCGCCACUCCCCUCCCUUCCUCAUGCUGGUGGCAGAGCUGGUUAGCGGGCCGGAGAGGGAGAUCGUUGGGCUCGUCCGCGGUUGCAUCAAGACCGUGGCCUGCGGCACCCCCUUGUUAUUACCCUCCCCCGCGAAGCACCACACCGCCACCGCCGUCCCCAUCUAUGCCAAGGUGGCCUACCUCCUCGGCCUCCGCGUCUCCCCCGCUCACCGGCGAAGGGGGAUCGCGCUGAAGUUGGUGCGGAGGAUGGAGGAGUGGUUCAAGGAGAAGGGGGCGGAGUACGCGUACAUGGCGACGGAGAAGGACAACGAGGCGUCUUUCCGCCUCUUCACCGGGCGGUGCGGUUACUCCAAGUUCCGCAACCCGGCCAUUCUGGUGCACCCCGUGUUCGCCCACCGCCUUCCCCUCCCCCCACGCGUCGCCAUCCUCCGCCUCACGGCCGCCGAUGCCGAGGCCCUAUACCGCCGCCGCUUCGCCGCCACCGAGUUCUUCCCCCGCGACAUCGACGCCGUCCUGGCCAACCCGCUCUCCCUCGGCAGCUUCCUCGCCGUCCCCGCGGGCUGCUCCGCCGCGGCCCGGUGGGAGGGGGCCGGCGCGUUCCUGGCCGACCCGCCCGCCUCGUGGGCGGUGGCCAGCGUGUGGAACUCAAAGGAGGUGUUCCGGCUCGAGGUGCGGGGGGCAGGGCGGUGGCGGCGGGGGCUGGCGCGGGCGAGCCGGGCGGUGGACCGGGCGCUGCCGUGGCUGCGCAUCCCGUCGGUGCCGGACCUGUUCCGGCCGUUCGGGCUGUACCUGCUCUACGGGGUGGGCGGGGAGGGCCCCGCGGCAGCGGCGCACGUGCGGGCGCUGUGCGGGCAUGUGCACAACAUGGCGCGGGCGGACCCGGGCUGCCGGGUGGUGGCGGCGGAGGUGGCGGCGUGCGAGCCGCUCCGGGGAGGGGAUCCCCCACUGGGGCCGCCUCUCUUGCGCGGAGGACGUGUGGUGCGUGAAGCGCCUGGCGGAGGAGUACAGCGACGGGUCGCUCGGCGACUGGACCAAGGCGCUUUCCCCACCCUCCAUCUUCGUGGACCCCAGGGAAUUCUGAAUCGGACGGUCACGCUUCACCGGCUCGUCGUCUUCUUCUUCUUCCCUGUGUCUUAUCGAAAGCACAAGGACAACGUGACGGUGCACAAGGUGGCUGUUUCCGUCAU
This is a non-coding RNA of Musa acuminata subsp. malaccensis (wild Malaysian banana), 1770 nucleotides long. The record is from RefSeq and is a predicted model, not a curated record. Lineage: Eukaryota; Viridiplantae; Streptophyta; Magnoliopsida; Zingiberales; Musaceae.